This 712-nucleotide ribosomal RNA is filed under the name uncultured bacterium. RNAcentral's name for it is "bacterial SSU rRNA". It matches the Rfam family "Bacterial small subunit ribosomal RNA", at positions 52 to 780 of the family's 1533-position model. The record is from RNAcentral.
UACUGCAGUCGACGGUAGGCCCGCUUGCGGGUACACGAGUGGCGAACGGGUGAGUAACACGUGAGCAACCUGCCCUUGACUCUGGAAUAACAGCUGGAAACAGCUGCUAAUACCGGAUAUGACCUCUUGCGACAUCGCACGGAGGUGGAAAGCUCCGGCGGUCAAGGAUGGGCUCGCGGCCUAUCAGCUAGUUGGUGGGGUAACGGCCUACCAAGGCUUCGACGGGUAGCCGGCCUGAGAGGGCGACCGGCCACACUGGGACUGAGAUACGGCCCAGACUCCUACGGGAGGCAGCAGUGGGGAAUAUUGCACAAUGGGCGAAAGCCUGAUGCAGCAACGCCGCGUGCGGGAUGACGGCCUUCGGGUUGUAAACCGCUUUCAGCUUCGACGAAGCGCAAGUGACGGUAGGAGCAGAAGAAGGACCGGCCAACUACGUGCCAGCAGCCGCGGUGAUACGUACGGUCCGAGCGUUGUCCGGAAUUAUUGGGCGUAAAGGGCUUGUAUGCUGUUUGUCUCUUCGGAAUUGAAAACUCACGGCUUAACCCUGAGCCUGCAUCUGAUACGGGCAAACUAUAGGGAUGCAGGUCGAUAACAGAAUUCCUGGUGGAGCGGUGGAAUGCACAGAUAUCUUGAGGAACACCCGUUGCAAAGGCUGUUCUCUGGGAGUUUCAUGACUCUGAAAACGGAUUCUUUGGUCAAUAAAUCACGCUUA